RNAcentral lists this ribosomal RNA (311 nucleotides) under uncultured Methanomicrobiales archaeon. RNAcentral describes it as "bacterial SSU rRNA". It matches the Rfam family "Archaeal small subunit ribosomal RNA", at positions 1028 to 1338 of the family's 1478-position model. Lineage: Archaea; Methanobacteriati; Methanobacteriota; Methanomicrobia; Methanomicrobiales. The record is from RNAcentral.
GUUAAGUCAGGCAACGAGCGAGACCCACGCCAACAGUUGCCAGCUCGUCCUCCGGGAUGGUGGGGACACUGUUGGGACCGCCUCUGCUAAAGAGGAGGAAGGAAUGGGCAACGGUAGGUCAGCAUGCCCCGAAUUAUCUGGGCUACACGCGGGCUACAAUGGGUGGGACAAUGGGUAUCGACACCGAAAGGUGAAGGCAAUCUCCUAAACCCAUCCGUAGUUCGGAUUGUGGGCUGCAACUCGCCCACAUGAAGCUGGAAUCUGUAGUAAUCGUGUCUCAAAAUGGCACGGUGAAUAUGUCCCUGCUCCUU